Molecule: non-coding RNA, 828 nt
Organism: Gymnodraco acuticeps
Lineage: Eukaryota; Metazoa; Chordata; Actinopteri; Perciformes; Bathydraconidae
Source: the annotation of a RefSeq genome assembly
CAAUGCAAAACUCAGAUAUCUCCCCCUCUACUUAUGUGACUGCAGAGAGGAGGACAGAGGACAGAGGACACACAGUUUAACAUGAUGGACUAUAGGACAGGACUGCUGCUGCUCACUGUCUGCUGGGCAGGUGUUGAUGGUCAGACUCUGACAGAAUCUGAACCAGUGACUAAAAGGCCUGGAGAAUCUCACAGAUUGACCUGUGAAACCUCUGGACUGUCAUUCAGUAGCUACUGGAUGGCCUGGGUCAGACAGGCUCCUGGAAAAGGACUGGAGUGGAUCGCUUACAUCCACCCUACUAGCAGUAGCAGCAUCUACUACUACUCUGAGUCAGUGAAAGGCCUUUCCAGUAUCAUGAAACAACCUUAGUUACACCAAACAAUAUAGCAUAUAACAUAUAGCUGAAUGUAGAAAUCAUAUCACUAAAUAGAUUUAUCAUGUUUAUUGCAGAACAGAGCCUCAUCAAAAUGUCUCUUUAGAGAAGACAGCAGCUGAACCAUAAAAAGCAUUUAUGUGCUUACAUUUUGAAAAAGGUCUAAUCUGAGAUCCUCCGUCUUUUAACUUAUUUAGUUUGCAUUUUUCAUGCACUGCAGAAAUGUGUUUUUGCACAUUGUCAAAUAGGUUUCAGUUCCUUAGUAGUUUAUUUCCUCUUAAGACUCCAAGUCUCUCUGUAUCUGUCCUCAAAUUGCCACUAUUUGAAUACUGAAACCUUUAAAGUAAGAAAAUAAACAAAGUCCAGGUCUUCAUCCAGCUGCAGCAAACACAAGUAAACAUUUAGACCAUCAUGCUUUCCUUCAUUGCAGUUACAACAUAAAAAAGCAUAAUUCA